Molecule: transfer RNA, 91 nt
Filed under: Candidatus Auribacterota bacterium
Lineage: Bacteria; Pseudomonadati; Candidatus Auribacterota
Also listed under: 1 other name
Description: tRNA-Ser
Rfam family: tRNA
About the family: Transfer RNA (tRNA) molecules are approximately 80 nucleotides in length. Their secondary structure includes four short double-helical elements and three loops (D, anti-codon, and T loops).
Source: RNAcentral
GGAGAGGUGUCCGAGAGGCCGAAGGAACACGACUGGAAAUCGUGUGAACUCCAAAAGGGUUCCGUGGGUUCGAAUCCCACCCUCUCCGCCA